Molecule: ribosomal RNA, 805 nt
Filed under: uncultured bacterium
Lineage: Bacteria
Description: bacterial SSU rRNA
Rfam family: Bacterial small subunit ribosomal RNA
Source: RNAcentral
AGAGUUUGAUUUUGGCUCAGGAUGAACGUUGGCGGCGUGCCUAACACAUGCAAGUCGAACGAAGACUGUGUGACGGAACUCUCCGGAGGGAAGACGCGCAGGACUGAGUGGCGGACGGGUGAGUAACGCGUGGGUAACCUGCCCUGUACAGGGGGACAACAGCUGGAAACGGCUGCUAAUACCGCAUAAGCCUACAGUACCGCAUGGUACAGCAGGAAAAACUCCGGUGGUACAGGAUGGGCCCGCGUCUGAUUAGUUAGUUGGCAGGGUAACGGCCUACCAAGACAACGAUCAGUAGCCGGCUUGAGAGAGUGAACGGCCACAUUGGGACUGAGACACGGCCCAAACUCCUACGGGAGGCAGCAGUGGGGAAUAUUGCACAAUGGGGGAAACCCUGAUGCAGCAACGCCGCGUGAGUGAAGAAGUAUUUCGGUAUGUAAAGCUCUAUCAGCAGGGAAGAAAAUGACGGUACCUGACUAAGAAGCUCCGGCUAAAUACGUGCCAGCAGCCGCGGUAAUACGUAUGGAGCAAGCGUUAUCCGGAUUUACUGGGUGUAAAGGGAGCGCAGGCGGUACGGCAAGUCCGAUGUGAAAACCCGGGGCUCAACCCCGGGACUGCAUUGGAAACUGCCGCACUAGAGUGCCGGAGAGGUAAGUGGAAUUCCUAGUGUAGCGGUGAAAUGCGUAGAUAUUAGGAGGAACACCAGUGGCGAAGGCGGCUUACUGGACGGUAACUGACGCUGAGGCUCGAAAGCGUGGGGAGCAAACAGGAUUAGAUACCCUGGUAGUCCACGCCGUAAACGAUG